AACAUAGGUAGAAGUAGUUUGUUUGGAGAUGCUACCUACAAACCAUUUGGGUGGAAGCAUGCUGCUGAGUUGUGGAGAUGCCCUAGCUCAGAAUCCAGGAAGUAAUUGCAGUGCUCAUAUGAGGAAGAUGCUAUUGCAGAUACUUUAUCCUAUGAACACAAGUGCAGGGAAAAAAUGAACCCCAAAGGGACUGGGAACUUGUAUAGAGACUGUGUCCAUCAGUGGAGUCCAGACUUCAUUCUCCCAGGAGAUUAGGACGUAGGUAUUUCUAACAUACUAUUAGUAAUGUAUAUCAUUACAUACUGGGUAAAAGAUGUUUGACAAAUAUUCCAAAACUAGAAAAUUCUAGGUUUAUGUUUGCUUUGGGCAUAUUCAUUUGUUCCUCUUUGUCUCUAUUUAGUCUGUAUUAAUUACAUGAGUACACAUGAUCUUUUCCACAAACACAUAGGAUGAUCUUAGUUUGAACUGUCUGUCUAGUGGGUAAUGACCAAGUGCUAAAGAGCAGUAAGGAUAAGACCUCUUACAAUUUCCAAAGAUAACAGAUAAAAACCAAUCACUAGGACUAAUUGCUUUUGAAUCCAGAUACUGUGAGUCUCUCUUGUUUGUCCAGACUGACUUGCUGUUGAUGAGAGUAGAGCUGAUACUUCUUUGUAGAAAUCAGAUGCUCUUACCUUCUUGUUCAGACCAGUCAGGAUGUGAAUGGUUCUGUUCUGUGCUAGAAAAAUGACCAUCCUUUAGCCUACCUCGGUGCCAGGUGGAAGGCAAACUCAGUUCUGUCUCUAUAAAAUCACCACAACUUUGGUUGCAGUUUCCUCAUUUUGGAC
RNAcentral lists this long non-coding RNA (824 nucleotides) under Anas platyrhynchos platyrhynchos (common mallard). RNAcentral describes it as "lncRNA (ENSAPLG00000022752.1)". Lineage: Eukaryota; Metazoa; Chordata; Aves; Anseriformes; Anatidae. The record is from RNAcentral.